AACGCGAAGAACCUUACCCAGGCUUGACAUGCAGAGGAAUUACCCAGAGAUGGAUAAGCCCUUCGGGGCCUCUGCACAGGUGCUGCAUGGCUGUCGUCAGCUCGUGCCGUGAGGUGUUGGGUUAAGUCCCGCAACGAGCGCAACCCUUAUCGUUAGUUGCCAACACGUAAUGGUGGGAACUCUAGCGAGACUGCCUGGGUUAACCAGGAGGAAGGUGAGGAUGACGUCAAGUCCGCAUGGCCCUUAUGUCUGGGGCUACACACGUGCUACAAUGGUCGGUACAGAAGGCAGCGAAACCGCGAGGUGAAGCAAAUCCCGAAAGCCGGCCCCAGUUCAGAUUGUAGUCUGCAACUCGACUACAUGAAGACGGAAUUGCUAGUAAUGGCGAGUCAGCAACAUCGCCGUGAAUACGUUCCCGGGCCUUGUAACACCGACUGUAC
RNAcentral lists this ribosomal RNA (440 nucleotides) under uncultured bacterium. RNAcentral's name for it is "bacterial SSU rRNA". It matches the Rfam family "Bacterial small subunit ribosomal RNA", at positions 958 to 1399 of the family's 1533-position model. The record is from RNAcentral.